This is a long non-coding RNA of Salvia miltiorrhiza (redroot sage), 991 nucleotides long. RefSeq lists it as uncharacterized. The record is from RefSeq and is a predicted model, not a curated record. Lineage: Eukaryota; Viridiplantae; Streptophyta; Magnoliopsida; Lamiales; Lamiaceae. The transcript has 5 exons.
AAAUAAUUUAGGGGACGCGCGAUUCUUCGCUUUUCCACAUUUUGGGCGGACUCCUCAACCCAAUUUCACUCAUACUUUUCCAAUUUUUCUAUCAUCCAUUCUUCUCUUUCGUAAUUUCACUCAAACUCUUCCAAUUUUCCUAUCACUCCUUCCAUCUCUUCUGUGAAACGUCCAUCGAUCUCCAAUUUCGUAUCAGCAAAAAUACUCAGAAACUGAAAUCCAUUGCCGCCUCUGAGCCGUCGUCAUCGCCGAGCCGCUGCUGCGCCGUCGUCAUCACCGAGCCGUCGUCGACAUCCUAUCGCCGCUGCGCCUUCUGCUCACACCCUCGCCUUGCAGCGUAGCAACCUUUGUUCUCCUCCCAAUUUAAGAUGCCAAUUUAAGAGGCCUAGGUUUUUAUUGAAGUAGCAGAGAUGAUCGAUGAUUGAUAAUUGUUUUGCUGGUAAUCUUUUGAAUUAACAAAAGAAGGAGGAAGAGAAAGCAAGACAGAAGGAUCUGCAGGAGUUGUUCAAAGUUGCCGUCAAACAACCUAAAGUUCCUGUUGUUAUAUUUGCAUUUGCAUUUGCAUCAUCGAUUUCCUGCAAUCUGAUCAGAAUAAUGGAGGAUAGGAAAGGCCAAGAGAAUUUUCAGCUUAUCGUCAUCACUCAUGAUGAGCGGUUUGCUCAACUUAUCGGCCAGAGGCAGUAUUGCUGAAAAGUACUAUUGCAUCACUAAGGAUGACUAUCAACAUAGCAUAAUUGAUGCGCAAGAAAUAUUUGAUUGAUCAUGUUCAGGGGGUCCAUCCUAUGGUUAGAGGGGAAAGGUGUUGCUUUUGAGGAUAAUGGCUCUUCCAAAAUUGGUGUUAGAUUUGAUAGGACUUUUCAUUUAUAUCGAGUUGCCUUUUGGAUUGUUUAGUUAUUGAAAUGUUGAAUUCAUAUAUCAAAAGAAUACGAUAUGAUUGUAUUUGUACAGUAAGUGCCUUUAUAUAGUAAUUUUGGGGCAUAAAAUCUUAGUA